AUACUUAUCCAGCAAGGGAAAUAUCCUGGUCAUGCAGCUGGUUUUUCCAGGGUUAGGCUUAUUGAUUGUAUUCUCUAUGUGCUGCGGAUCUCUGUGAUUUCCCCAAAUGUGGAAAACUCAACCAUAUAAUUUGUGGUAGUGAAGGACUGGAUACACAUUCUCCCA
Molecule: small nuclear RNA, 165 nt
Organism: Sorex fumeus (smoky shrew)
Lineage: Eukaryota; Metazoa; Chordata; Mammalia; Eulipotyphla; Soricidae
Product: U1 spliceosomal RNA
Exons: 1
Source: RefSeq, a predicted model, not a curated record